GACGAACGCUGGCGGCGUGCUUAACACAUGCAAGUCGAACGGUGAAGCUCCAGCUUGCUGGAGUGGAUCAGUGGCGAACGGGUGAGUAACACGUGAGCAACCUGCCCCUGACUCUGGAAUAAGCGCUGGAAACGGCGUCUAAUACUGGAUACGAGAAGGGUCCGCAUGGGCACUUUCUGGAAAGUUUUUCGGUUGGGGAUGGGCUCGCGGCCUAUCAGCUUGUUGGUGAGGUAAUGGCUCACCAAGGCGACGACGGGUAGCCGGCCUGAGAGGGCGACCGGCCACACUGGGACUGAGACACGGCCCAGACUCCUACGGGAGGCAGCAGUGGGGAAUAUUGCACAAUGGGCGAAAGCCUGAUGCAGCGACGCCGCGUGAGGUAUGACGGCCUUCGGGUUGUAAACCUCUUUCAGCAGGGAAGAAGCGAAAGUGACGGUACCUGCAGAAGAAGCACCGGCUAACUACGUG
RNAcentral lists this ribosomal RNA (468 nucleotides) under uncultured bacterium. RNAcentral describes it as "partial 16S ribosomal RNA". It matches the Rfam family "Bacterial small subunit ribosomal RNA", at positions 28 to 507 of the family's 1533-position model. The record is from RNAcentral.